This is a long non-coding RNA of Harpia harpyja (harpy eagle), 1074 nucleotides long. RefSeq lists it as uncharacterized. The transcript is spliced from 2 exons. Lineage: Eukaryota; Metazoa; Chordata; Aves; Accipitriformes; Accipitridae. The record is from RefSeq and is a predicted model, not a curated record.
ACCCCCAGGCCUCCUGCUGCUCUCGGGGGGCACGUGGGCAGCCCAGGCAGCGUGACGCUGAGCUGACCGAGUCCACGGAGGAUUUGGGGGAUUUUUACUUGCUAAAUAUUAGGCUUGUUAAGUGCACAUGCUGCUGAGCCGAUGUGAACUGAUUUUUAUUUUUUUCAGAGGAAUCUUGGACAAGUUUCACAGCUGUGGCAGCAAAAGGCACACUGGUGAUGGGAGGCUGAGCUCUCCACUCAGCGGCCUUUUCUGGUAAAAGAACUCUUUUUUUUUCCAAAGCAAAUAAUCGCAGCAGCAAAAUUACUGCGCAUCUCUUCAAGGUGCAGCAUAGCGUAUUUUCUGCUUGCAGCCCCAAGAUUAAUUCAGAAUAUAGCAUCGAGCUUCCCACCUUCCAGAAAUUAAAUGUCAUGAUCUCAUAUAAGUCCUGUAGGACAUGGACGGGGAGGAAGAGGGAGACAAAAGAAUCGAGGAAAAACCGCACCAUCCAGCCAGAUCUGCAUUAGGCCCCACAUCUGUAUCCUGGGAUCAGGUUUCUGCUGAGAUUUCGCUCGAGGGCAGCUUGUCCUUCCUGCUGGGAAGAGACCGUUUGCCACAGUAUGAGCGUGGCUGUGUUGGGAAAGUUUGGGGAAAAGCGAUAACUAGGAAAGGGGACCCCGGGUGGGCUCCAUUUCUUUGGGGGAGCCCAUGUCCCAGCAGCAUUUCCACCAGGCAACAACCCCAUCUGUAGGGCUCCUAAACCUGAAAGCACUGCCGUAUCUGAACGGCCUAAACCAAGUGAGCCCAUGACAAGGAGUGGGAUUUCAGGCAGUCGAGAAGUCAAGCCUGUGCCACGAGCUGAGAGAGCCCAGCGCCGUGUGCAGCAAGGCAGUAUGGAUGUGUAGGCUGCAAAAUUACAAGCUGCUUAUUGCCAAAUAUGUGGCUGCAACGAGCACACUGAAGCAGACUGGGUUUCCCUUUCACCCUCGUCUGGCCUCCUGUUAGUCUAUGCCUCUGCAGGGUGUCUGGAUGAAGCGCUAAAAAGUGGAAAUAGAGAUACAGAAUGAAAAACUUGAAUAAAACAUCCAGGCUCAA